GGUUGUGACUCAGUGGUAAAGCACUUGCCUAGCAAGCAUGAGGCAUUGGGUUCGUUCCCCAGCACAUUA
Molecule: transfer RNA, 69 nt
Filed under: Marmota monax (woodchuck)
Lineage: Eukaryota; Metazoa; Chordata; Mammalia; Rodentia; Sciuridae
Description: tRNA.Ala
Source: RNAcentral